GAUGAACGCUGGCGGUCUGCUUAACACAUGCAAGUCGAACGGAGGUAGAAAUACCUCAGUGGCGGACGGGUGAGUAACACGUGAGAAUCUAGCUUCAGGUCGGGGAUAACAGAGGGAAACCGCUGCUAAUACCGAAUGUGCCGAGAGGUGAAAGACAAGUUGCCUGAGGAUGAGCUCGCGGCGGAUUAGCUAGUUGGUGGGGGUAAAAGCCUACCAAGGCGACGAUCCGUAGCUGGUCUGAGAGGACGAGCAGCCACACUGGGACUGAGACAAGGCCCAGACUCCUACGGGAGGCAGCAGUGGGGAAUUUUCCGCAAUGGGCGAAAGCCUGACGGAGCAAGACCGCGUGAGGGAGGAAGGCUCUUGGGUUGUAAACCUCUUUUCUUUGGGAAGAAGAAAGUGACAGUACCAAAGGAAUCAGCAUCGGCUAACUCCGUGCCAGCAGCCGCGGUAAUACGGAGGAUGCAAGCGUUAUCCGGAAUCAUUGGGCGUAAAGCGUCCGCAGGUGGUGGGGCAAGUCGGCUGUCAAAGGUCACAGCUUAACUGUGAACAGGCGGUGGAAACUGCCAAACUAGAGUGCGGUAGGGGUAGAGGGAAUCCCGGUGUA
This 607-nucleotide ribosomal RNA is filed under the name uncultured cyanobacterium. RNAcentral describes it as "bacterial SSU rRNA". It matches the Rfam family "Bacterial small subunit ribosomal RNA", at positions 28 to 677 of the family's 1533-position model. Lineage: Bacteria; Bacillati; Cyanobacteriota. The record is from RNAcentral.